UGCCAGGAAUGGGAGAUUUAGCAAGUUUCCAAGUUCCUCAGACAAUUGGAAAAUGCCCCAAGCCCCUUCUGCAGUCGAUGUCCUCCCGAGGAUGAUGUGUCACCAUGUGAAGACUGAUCACAGAAAGGACAAAGCAAUUCUGAAACUCAUCGGAGAGGGAAAUGUUUUGAUACAAGCGGGCUCUGCAGGGUCCAGCCACGGUCGGACAGGAGGAGUCUCCUCCUUCUCCCACCUUCCUUUUCUUUGCUCUGACACAAACCUGUCCCUGUCUCCCCAUCUCUGAGAGUCAGGCACCCACAUUCCUUCGUGCACAGGGAAGGAAAGA
Molecule: non-coding RNA, 325 nt
Organism: Lonchura striata (white-rumped munia)
Lineage: Eukaryota; Metazoa; Chordata; Aves; Passeriformes; Estrildidae
Source: RefSeq, a predicted model, not a curated record